Molecule: long non-coding RNA, 3108 nt
Organism: Gorilla gorilla gorilla (western lowland gorilla)
Lineage: Eukaryota; Metazoa; Chordata; Mammalia; Primates; Hominidae
Exons: 2
Source: RefSeq, a predicted model, not a curated record
GGUGAGACAGCACGGGAAGAAAUAACACACGGGCUUCUGUGCAGCUGGAUAUAAUGAAGGUAACCCCUGCCUACAUUUUACUGUGGAUUCCAAGAGUAGACUGGGCUUCAGGGACCAGAUGCCAGGGCUGGCACAUCUGCCUAAAACCCAUAAUUCUUGAACUCGACGUGCUCAGCCUCUCCAAAGCCGUGGCGCUGACACAGCUCCCCCUGCACGAGUGUACAGCAGUCAGACAGGAACGGGGAGAGGGGGCUCAACUUUCUGACGGCCACUUAGAGGCUGCCUGACCACGAAGACAGGACCGUAAAACAUAUACCGCAUGCGACCUGCUGGUGCUUGGCACUGACCCAGGGGAGGAGGGCCACUUGGGCUGGAAUGCAGUUGCUGGGGGCUCAUGAGGGGCUCAGUGGUGCCCCUGGCCACCGAGUCAAGCAGCGUAGAUUGAUCAGAGGAGCUGAGGCCCACCCUCCCCUUUCUCCUACACGUGGACACCUCUGAGUGGAAUAAGGGAAGACUGUCCUUUCUCCAAGCUUGAAGGAAGAUGUCUGUGACCCUUUUCCUGGACUUCAAGGCAUCGAAGUGUCAGCUGCCUGCCAUCCCAGCGGCUGACAGGGCAGCAGGAGAAAGAGGCCACCUGUAUCAUCCACCAACGCUGCAGCUGAAUGGGAUCGGUGCAGCAUGAUAGAGGCCAGCUGCCCCGCACCAGGUCUGCGUGUCACAGGGCAGAGUGCAUGGUCUCCAUUCACGUGCGGGGCCAGGUGACUGCACGGAGUGAUGAGCUGGGCCCACUUUCCUGCUACUGGCCGCCAGCAAAGAAUACAAGGGGUUUCCCUUCCCUUCCCUUCCCUAUCGACAGCCUUGCAGGGUGGUGGUUUCCUUUGCCUGGAGAGUUCAGAGGCCUUAGUUCUGGAAAGCCUCCUGUGGGGAGAUGGAGUGGCGGGGAUAGGGACCAGAGCAGAGAGGGCAGCAGCAUAAACAAAGAGGACAGGCAAACUGUUUGAGCCCAGGAGUUUGAGACCAGCCUGGGCAACAUGGUGAAACCCUGUCUCUAUAAAAAAUAUAAAACUUAGCUGGGUGUGGUGGCACAUGCCUAUGGUCCCGGGUAUCUGGAGCAUGGGGUAGUGGUGGGGUGGUGGGAGGAUCAUCUGAGCCUGGGGAGGUCGAGGCCGCAGUAAGCUAGGAUUGUAUCACUGCACUCCAGCCUUGGCAACAGAGAGAGAUCUUAUCUCAGAACAAAACAAAAAAAUCGGAGAAGGGAUUUCUCUGAUUUCUCUGAUUUCUCCCUUUGGGAAGGGAGGCUUGGAGGCUGCCUGGGGCUGAGCAGGGAGCACCAUGCUUCUAGGCCUUUGGGGAGGUUUCGAGGUCCAAGUGUGACUUAGAGGAACUGGGAGAUGCCAGCAGACACUGCGACCCAAAGGGGCCUGGCUUGGGAUCUAUGCAGCUGUGGGAGGGGAGAGGCCCUCCCCGCUACCAGAUGCAGACUGUGGUGCCCUGAAGCCUGGCGUCUGAGCCAGAUCUGACUUUGUGUAGAAGCAUAAAAGGAAUAGGAUGUUUGUGAUGGCUGAGCGUCAUGGAGCAAUUCAUACCUGUUCCUGGAGCAAUCUAUUUUUAGCCUUGUUAACCUGAACUGUACUUUAAAAUUUAAACUAAAUGCAGGCUCUUUUCUACCCAUGAUUUAUUAGACCUCCCCUUUCUAUCAAAUUAAAGCUCUGCACAAAUGAAACAAUUUAUCCUCAUCUAAUUUAUAACCACCCUCCCACACUAGGAAUAUGGAGCCAGGAAUGAGGGAGGUUCACGUGGGAGGCGGCAACUGCAGAACAGACAGCUCUUUGGAUUUCUUUAAAUUGCUAUUUAAUUCCAUCCAUCAACCCAUUUUUCUGCUGUAUACAUAGAAAAGGACAAUAACCACUCCCUCAACCAAAUAUCCCUACAUUCAGUUAAAAGCUACUCUGUACCCCAGGACAUGGGAGCAGCUCCUAUCCUUCCCAGGUGAAAAAGUAGGCUUUUUUUCCCCCUUAAGGCUAAAUAGGAUUUCUUUUCUGUUAGCUAUGGGUAGGUGACUUCUUAAUGAUCUUUAAGGAAAGAAGUCAAUGCAAGGAAAAUAUCCUUUUUUAAUCCCAUUUUCCUUCUCACCCCACACUGAGCGUUACUAUAGCAACAUCUUCCCUGCUACUAGGACAGUUAAGUCCCCCUGUGAAGUUAACCGAAAGCUGCUUUUUCACUCAAGAGAAGGGGCUGCUGUUCAUUGACCAGCUUUUCCCUGCGUGUCUAAAUUCUUCGGUUCUCUCUGACAUGCUCAAACUAGGGUUUCCCAUUGCUAAACCCUAAAAGUCACUUCGAAACUCCUAACAGCAGAAUUCCCCAAACCUUUUCAGAACUGAACUCAUUAGAAAUGAAUUUACAUUUUGAUUUAGUUAUAAAUAACUUUUCUUCUGUGUAUUGGUUUAAGUUUAGAAAAGGCCCCCUGUAAAGAAGACAAGUUGGAGAAUAAUCUCCCAUAUUCCUCUGCCAUCCUUUCUUUCCUUCCUUUCCUUGAGAUGGAGUCUCUCUCUGUCGCCCAGGCUGGAGUGCAGUGGAGUGAUCUCAGCUCACUGCAACCUCUGCCUCCCGGGUUCAAGCGAUGCUCCUGCCUCAGCCUCUCGAGUAGCUGGGACUACAGGCAUGCACCACCACGCCUGGCUAAUUUUUUGUAUUUUUAGUAGAGACAGCGUUUCACCGUGUAAGCUAGGAUGGUCUCGAUCUCCUGACCUCAUGAUCGGCCCGCCUCGGCCUCCCAAUGUGCUGGGAUUACAGGUAUGAGCCACCGUGGCUGGCCUCCUUUUUCUUUAAAAACAUACAUACAUAUAUGUAAAAACAAAAGAAAAUUUCAGGACCUUCCAAAUUUCAUAGGCCUAGAGGAAAGUUAAGCCCUGGAAAUGGAGUUGUGAGAGCAGGCUGUUUUUCCUUUCUGGUGCGUGACCACUGCUUCCUGAUUUUUGUGUUGAGAUCUUAGACAUUAACCAGACUUAUAGCCUUCAUUCAAACCAGACUGAAUGAUGUGGGAGGUAGGGACCUUGGUCAUUGUUAUCUCUUUAUAAUAAAAUGCUAAGCAACCCCCUUAGAGUGAAA